Molecule: ribosomal RNA, 491 nt
Filed under: uncultured bacterium
Lineage: Bacteria
Description: bacterial SSU rRNA
Rfam family: Bacterial small subunit ribosomal RNA
Source: RNAcentral
GAUGAACGCUAGCGGCAGGCUUAAUACAUGCAAGUCAAGGGGGUAGCAAUACAACCGGCGCACGGGUGAGUAACGCGUACACAACAUACCAUAUACUGGGGUAUAGCUUCGGGAAACUGGAGAUAAUCCCCCAUAACAUUGCGAGAGGGCAUCUGAUUGCAAUUAAAGUUUCGACGGUAUAUGAUUGGUGUGCGUUUGGUUAGCUUGUUGGUAGGGUAACGGCCUACCAAGGCGACGAUCAAUAGCUGGUGUGAGAGCGCGACCAGCCACACUGGAACUGAGACACGGUCCAGACUCCUACGGGAGGCAGCAGUAGGGAAUAUUGGACAAUGGGCGAAAGCCUGAUCCAGCCAUGCCGCGUGAUAGAUGAAGGCCCUCUGGGUUGUAAAUAUCUUUUAUCUGGGAAGAAACUCCUCUAUUCUUAGAGGCCUGACGGUACCAGAGGAAUAAGCACCGGCUAACUCCGUGCCAGCAGCCGCGGUAAAGUAUCG